GACGAACGCUGGCGGCGUGCCUAAUACAUGCAAGUUGAGCGCUGAAGGUUGGUACUUGUACCAACUGGAUGAGCAGCGAACGGGUGAGUAACGCGUGGGGAAUCUGCCUUUGAGCGGGGGACAACAUUUGGAAACGAAUGCUAAUACCGCAUAAAAACUUUAAACACAAGUUUUAAGUUUGAAAGAUGCAAUUGCAUCACUCAAAGAUGAUCCCGCGUUGUAUUAGCUAGUUGGUGAGGUAAAGGCUCACCAAGGCGAUGAUACAUAGCCGACCUGAGAGGGUGAUCGGCCACAUUGGGACUGAGACACGGCCCAAACUCCUACGGGAGGCAACAGUAGGGAAUCUUCGGCAAUGGACGAAAGUCUGACCGAGCAACGCCGCGUGAGCGAAGAAGGUUUUCGGAUCGUAAAACUCUGUUGGUAGAGAAGAACGUUGGUGAGAGUGGAAAGCUCAUCAAGUGACGGUAACUACCCAGAAAGGGACGGCUAACUACGUG
RNAcentral lists this ribosomal RNA (497 nucleotides) under uncultured bacterium. Its description in RNAcentral is "partial 16S ribosomal RNA". It matches the Rfam family "Bacterial small subunit ribosomal RNA", at positions 28 to 507 of the family's 1533-position model. The record is from RNAcentral.